GGGGUCGUGGUCCAGCUUGGUCAAGAUUCGCGCUUGGGGUGUGCGAGAUCGUGGGUUCAAAUCCCACCGACCCCACC
Molecule: transfer RNA, 77 nt
Filed under: subsurface metagenome
Description: tRNA-Pro
Rfam family: tRNA
About the family: Transfer RNA (tRNA) molecules are approximately 80 nucleotides in length. Their secondary structure includes four short double-helical elements and three loops (D, anti-codon, and T loops). Further hydrogen bonds mediate the characteristic L-shaped molecular structure. tRNAs have two regions of fundamental functional importance: the anti-codon, which is responsible for specific mRNA codon recognition, and the 3' end, to which the tRNAs corresponding amino acid is attached (by aminoacyl-tRNA synthetases). tRNAs cope with the degeneracy of the genetic code in two manners: having more than one tRNA (with a specific anti-codon) for a particular amino acid; and 'wobble' base-pairing, i.e. permitting non-standard base-pairing at the 3rd anti-codon position.
Source: RNAcentral